UGGGGAAUAUUGCGCAAUGGGCGAAAGCCUGACGCAGCGACGCCGCGUGAGGGAUGACGGCCUUCGGGUUGUAAACCUCUUUCAGCUCUGACGAAGCGAGAGUGACGGUAGGAGCAGAAGAAGCACCGGCCAACUACGUGCCAGCAGCCGCGGUAAUACGUAGGGUGCAAGCGUUGUCCGGAAUUAUUGGGCGUAAAGAGCUCGUAGGCGGUCUGUCGCGUCGAAUGUGAAAACCCGGGGCUCAACCCCGGGCCUGCAUUCGAUACGGGCAGACUAGAGUUCGGUAGGGGAGUCUGGAAUUCCUGGUGUAGCGGUGAAAUGCGCAGAUAUCAGGAGGAACACCGGUGGCGAAGGCGGGACUCUGGGCCGAUACUGACGCUGAGGAGCGAAAGCGUGGGGAGCAAACA
RNAcentral lists this ribosomal RNA (407 nucleotides) under uncultured Nakamurella sp. RNAcentral describes it as "bacterial SSU rRNA". It matches the Rfam family "Bacterial small subunit ribosomal RNA", at positions 355 to 774 of the family's 1533-position model. The record is from RNAcentral. Lineage: Bacteria; Bacillati; Actinomycetota; Actinomycetes; Nakamurellales; Nakamurellaceae.